This 3131-nucleotide long non-coding RNA is filed under the name Equus caballus (horse). RNAcentral's name for it is "lncRNA (ENSECAG00000058756.1)". The record is from RNAcentral. Lineage: Eukaryota; Metazoa; Chordata; Mammalia; Perissodactyla; Equidae.
GUUAUUUCUUGUCUUUUUAAUAAUAGCGAUUCUGACAGGUGUGAGGUGAUAUCUCAACAUAGUUUUGAUUUGUAUUUCCCAAAUAAUUAGUGAUGUUGAACAUCUUUUCAUGUGUUUAUUGGCCAUCUGUAUAUCUUCUUUGGAAAAAUGUCUGUUCAUAUCCUCUGCCCAUUUUUUGAUUGGGUUGUUCAUUUUUGUUGUUGUUCAGUUGUAUGAGUUCUUUAUAUGUUUUGAAAGUUAACCCCUGAUAUUGGAAAAUAUUGGAAGUAUUUUCUCCCAUUUGAUGGGUUGUUUUUUUUUUUUUUGUCUAUGGUUUCCUUGCUGUGCAGAAGCUUUUUAGUUUAAUGUAGUCCCAUUUGUUAGUUUUUUCUUUUGUUUCCCUUUCCUAAGGAGACUUGAUAUUCAAAAAGAUACUGCUAAGACUGAUGUCAAAGAGUGUACUUCCUAAAUUUUCUUCUAAGAUCACUCCAGUGUUCAGGGCCAGCAUCUUCAAAUAUCUCUCUGCUUCCUCAACACAUCACCUUCUCCUCUACGUGUGUCAGAUCUCCUACUGCAUCCUCUUACAGGGACACAUGCAGUUAGAUUUAGGACCCACUUGGUUAAUCCAGGACAGUCUCCCCAUCUCAGCACCCUUAACUUACUUGUAUUACAAAGGCCCCUUUCCCAGAUAGAGUACCAUUUACAAGUUCUGGGGAUUCGGGCCUGAUAUCUUUGGGGAACAUUUUCCAGUCUCCCACAGAUUUGGAAACAGCAUGCCUAUGAUAUUGGCUCAUUGAAACUGUUACUGACCAAUGGGGAAGUUCGAAUAUUAGGAUGGAUAAACUAACAUAACAGAAUAAAAUUUGACCUUCUAUGGACAUUGACUUCCCAGACCUUGGCUUACCCACUUGUACCUCCGAACUUAAGGACUUGUCGUAUAAUCAGAGAUUACCUUAUAAUCGGAGAUUGCCUUACAUAUUUCUAUUUUCUGUAGCCCAGUGUUUUAAAAUUGCAGGCUAUGAAUCAUUAGUUUGUUUCGAAAUCAGUUUAGUGGGUUGUGACCAGCGUUAAAAGAUGUUAGAGGGCCAGCCCUGCUGGCCUAGUGGUUGAGUUUGGCAUGCUCUGCUUUGGCGGCCCAGGUUCUCUUCCCAGGCGCAGACAUACACCACUUGUCAGUGACCAUGCUGUGGCGGCAGUGGUUCACAUACAGAAAGUGUAAGAUUGGCAACAGGUGUUAGCUCUGGGUGAAUCUUCCUCACCAAAAAAAAAAAAAAAGAAAGAAAAAAGGAAAUAUCAGAGUACAUCACAUGUAGUGAGGGUAAUUAUUGUUUCAUGAAACAAUAUGUGUGUGUAUGUGUGUAUUGGACCAUAAUGUAAAAUAAUACUUCUUGCUCUGGGUUGUGGUAAAAUGGAAAGCCUCUGCUGUAAGCAAUUUUGUUAUUCAUCAUACUCUAUGGCAACUAUUCCUUGCCAUUAGACAGAGCAAGAAUUGAAGCUCACAGCAACUUCAACUUCUUAUUGUGUGGCACUGUCCAAGGGGCAGCUCUCCUCAAUACUUAUCCAUAGGAGGUGUCAUUAUCUGGAAAGGAAAGCAACUUCAACAGCUGAAAUAGUAGAGAUUGGCACCUGAGCUAACAUCUGUUGCCAACCUUUUUUUUUCUUCUUCUUCUCUCCAAAACCCCCCAGUACAUAGUUGUAUAUUCUAGUUGUAGGUCCUUCUGGUUGUGCUGUGUGGGAUGCUGCGUCAGCAUGGCCUGAUGAGCGGUGCUAGGUCCGUGCCCAGGAUCCGAACCAGCCAAACCCUGGGCUGCCAAGUGGAGUACGCUAACUUAACCACUGGACCACGGGGCUGGCCCCUGGACUGAUCAAUUUUUAACAGCAUGUACUUUUAUUUUUCAUUAAAUAUAUAGGAAAAACUUUCAUUAUGAUAUCAAAAAAACUGAUUAGAGCUAUUACAGAAUUUUUAUAUGUGGUUCUUAUUUAGUUAUUCCUGAAAGCUGAAAACCCAAGUUUGGUACAUGCAUAUAUUUAUUAAAGGAAUACUGUGCUUUUUUGUCAUAUUCUAAUUCAUAAAUAAUAUUUAUUAUGUUUUACUAUUAUGAAUUGAGUAAUGAGAAAAGCUAUAUAGAUUUAUUCUUGGUUUUAUGACAUUAUAAAAAUAUAAACUAAUUCUAUUAGUUCCUGCAUCAUUUUAAUCUUGAUUGCUUUUAAUAAUUGAGCUGAUGAGAUACAUUUAAUAAUCUAUUUCUCAGUUUUUAAAAAAUAUUCAUCAAUGUACAUACAUUAACAGAUUUAUUUGAAUUGAAAAUUAACUCAGACUUUUUCUCAAAGUGCAUUUUAUUUAGAUGAUUGGCUUGGCAAUGAAGAUUGACUUUACUAAUUAGAUUGUGUGGCCAACAGCACAUUUUCUAUAAUUGAAUAAUUUAUACCUGCAACUCCAAGAUUUGGCAAAAACAUAUAAAGCAUAUGAAAUAAAAGUGUUUUAUCAAAAAUAUUUUAUGUUAAAUUAAUGUUUCCAUUUUGCUAAUCCUUUAAGAGUUAUCUCAGGUAAAGCAAGGUUCUUCUAAAUGAAAACAAAACAAAGAUUUGAUAAAUCCUAGUAUUGCCACAAUAUUUCCCAGACAUUGUGAAAGUGAAUGUCUAUAAUGGUUGGAUAAUAAAUUCUUUUUUUUUGACUCAAAUCUUAGAUUCUCUUUUGGAGCCUUUUCACUGUUUAGAAGGUUGUUUUUGAGUUGCAAAAAUUCUCUCUAUUUUUCCCUGUAUUACCAUGUGUUUUUCUCCUAUAUUCCCCCAUUCAAUCUCAGCUCCCACAGUCAGACAGACAGAAAGUGUGAGGACACUUUCUUCUUGCAUCUGUAGUGGAAUACUUAUUAGCAGACAGUAAUUCUCCAGGUCAAUAUAUUCUUUUAAAAGUCAGAUUGAGAACAAUUCUUUGUUUUCAGAAAAAUUGAAGGAGGGACUAGUUGUCAGCUGCUAGAUCAUUAUGAAUAAUUUUCACAAUAGAUUUCUAUGUAAUUUUUGGCACAUAAUUUGGAGUGAGUUCAAAGAAUUGGGUGAUAUUGCUAUAACCUAGCUUUUCUCCUUCUCAUCUACUUACUCAUGUGAAUAGAGUUUCUUAGUGCUUACGUUAUGUCCACAUAAAUGAAAACAAG